GGUGCCACUCCAAGCUUGUCAGUGAACCUAUACAAUCACAUAGCUUCUUUACAAGCAUCGAAUGCUGUAAUGUAUUCUGUCUCACAAAUUAAAUUGGCUAUAUUGCUCUGCUUGGAACCUUUCCAUCAGAUUGCUCUAUUAUUUAGGAUAAGAAUUUAUUUUGAUAUAUUCUUGCUAUUAUUAUAUUCAACUAAAAACUAAAGUCAUACUCUACAAAUUUUAAGUCAGAUUCUCCAUAACCGAACC
RNAcentral lists this long non-coding RNA (246 nucleotides) under Elaeis guineensis (African oil palm). Its description in RNAcentral is "long non-coding RNA (EGUI_LNC064303)". Lineage: Eukaryota; Viridiplantae; Streptophyta; Magnoliopsida; Arecales; Arecaceae. The record is from RNAcentral.